Leptidea sinapis is the source of this 3615-nucleotide long non-coding RNA. RefSeq lists it as uncharacterized. The transcript is spliced from 3 exons. NCBI's taxonomy places the organism in Eukaryota, Metazoa, Arthropoda, Insecta, Lepidoptera, Pieridae. The record is from RefSeq and is a predicted model, not a curated record.
UAUCGUAUCUUCUACUCUAUCAAAUAUCUCUUAGUUGUAACCCAAUUGAUCAGCAUUCGAUUAUCGAUGCUAGUAGAUAAAAGUUUAAAUAAAUCUUUGAAUGUUUUAAGUCAGUGCUAUCACUUGAUUUUAAAUUGCUUUUCGGUGUAAGUAGAACGUUAUCGUCUUAGUAGACCGAAAAGUUGGUCUAAUAAAACUAUGACUACUUGGUCUUUCAUAUUUAAAUGUUGGUAUAUUGUAUUUCGUACUCUUAUCAUUUAAUAUCUCUCUCUCUAUCUCUAUGUUGUAGCAAAAUUGAUCAGCACUCAAUUAGCGAUGUUAGUAGAACAACCUUUUAAUAAAUGUUUGCAUAUUUUAAGACGGUUAAAUACUAACUUAAAAUAGCUUUUCGGUGUCAGUAAACCAUGUUAAACAUUUUAGUUGACGUAAAAGGUUGUCUUAUAAAACUAUGACUACUCGGUCUUUCAUAUUUAAAUGUUAGUAUAUCGUAUCUUCUACUCUAUGUUGUUACGCAAUUGAUCAGCAAUCGAUUAUCGAUGCUAGUAGAAAAAACUUUAAAUAAAUAUUUGAAUGUUUCAAGUCACUGCUAACAUUUGAUAUUAAAUUGCUUUUCGGUCUUAGUAGAACGUUAUCGUCUUAGUAGACGUAAAAUAUGGUCUUAUAAAACUAUGACUACUUGGUCUUUCAUAUUUAAAUGUUGGUAUAUUGUGUCUCUCUCUCUCUAUCUUUAUGUUGUAUCAAAAUUGAUCAGCACCCAAUUAUCGAUGUUAGUAGAACAACCUUUUAAUAAAUGUUUGCAUAUUUUAAGACAGUUAAAUGCUAACUUAAAAUAGCUUUUCGGUUUCAGUAAAACAUCUUUAACAUUUUAGUUGACGUAAAAGGUUGUCUUAUAAAACUAUGACUACUCGGUCUUUCAUAUUUAAAUGUUACUGUAUCGUAUCUUCUUCUACAUCAAAUAUCUCUAUGUUGUAACCCAAUUGAUCAUCAUUCGAUUAUAGAUGUUGUUGACUUAAAAUAGCUUUUCGAUGUUAGUAAAACUCCUUUAACACCUUAGUAGACGUAUAUGGUGGUCUCUUAAAACUAUAACAAUUUGGCCUUUUAUGUUUAAUAUUAGUAUAUUGUAUCUUGUACUCUAUCAAAUAUCUAUAUGUUGUAACACAAUUGUAAGUUAUAGUAGAAUAAACUUCAAAUAAAUGUUGGCAUAUUUGUCUAGACAGUUGUAUCAGUUGACAUAAAAUAGCUUUUCGGUGUUAGUAAACCACCUUCAACAUUUUAGUAGACGUAAAACAGGGUCUAAUAAAACUAUGACUACUCGGUCUUUCAUAUUUAAAUGUAAGUAUAUCGUAUGUUGUACUCUAUCAAAUAUUUCUAUGGUGUGACCCAAUUGAUCAGCAUUCGAUUAUCGAUGCUAGUAGAAAAAACUUUUAAUAAAUCUUUAAUAUUUUAGACAGUGCUAUCAGUUAACUGUAAAUUGCUUUUUGGUGUUAGUAGAACGUUUUCAUCUUAGUAGACGUAAAAGGUCAUCUAAUAAAACUAUGACUUGUCUUUCAUACUUAAAUGUUGGUAUAUUGUUUCUUGUAUUCUAUCAAUUAAUAUCUCUCACUCUAUGUUAUAUCAAAAUUGAUCAGCAGUCGAUUAUCGAUGUAAGUAGAACAAACUUUAAAUAUAUGAUUGCAUAUUUUAUAAAAGUGCUAUAAGUUUGCUUAUAGUAGUUUUUAGAUGUUGAUAAAUCACCUUGUACGUCUUAGAAGACGUAAAAGGUGGUGUAAUAAAAUUAUGACUACUUGGUCUUUCAUUUUUAAAUGUUAGUAUAUCGUAUCUUCUACUCUAUAAAAUAUCUUUAUGUUGUAACCCAAUUGCGCAGCAUUCGAUUAUUGAUGUAAGUUAUAGUAGAAUAAACUUUUAAUAAAUCUUGGCAUAUCUUUCUAGACAGUUCUAUCAAUUGACUUAAAAUAGCUAUUCGAUGUCAGUAAACCUCCUUCAACAUUUUAGUAGACAUAAAAGUGGUCUCAUAAAACUAUGACUACUCGGUCUUUCAUAUUUAAAUGUUGGUAUAUCGUAUCUUGUACUCUAUCAUAUAUCUUUAUGUUGUAAUCCAAUUGAUCAGCAAUCGAUUAUCGAUGCUAGUAGAAAAAACUUUAAAUAAAUAUUUGAAUGAUUUAAGUCAGUGCUAUCAUUUGUUUUUUAAUUGCUUUUCGGUGUUAGUAGAACGUUAUCGUCUUAGUAGACGUAAAAUAUGGUCUUAUAAAACUAUGACUACUUGUUCUUUCAUAUUUAAAUGUUGGUAUAUUGUAUUUUGUACUCUAUCAUUUAAUAUCUCUCUCUCUCUAUCUCUAUGUUGUAGCAAAAUUUAUCAGCACUCAAUUAUCGAUGUUAGUAGAACAACCUUUUAAUAAAUGUUUGCAUAUUUUAAGACAGUUAAAUACUAACUUAAAAUAGCUUUUCGGUUUCAGUAAAACUCCUUCAACAUUUUAGUAGACGUAAAAGGUGGUCUAAUAAAACUAUGACUACUCGGUCUUUCAUAUUUAAAUGUUGGUAUAUCGUAUCUUGUACUCUAUCAGAUAUCUUUAUGUUGUAAUCCAAUUGAUCAGCAAUCGAUUAUCGAUGCUAGUAGAAAAAACUUUAAAUAAAUAUUUGAAUGAUUUAAGUCAGUGCUAUCAUUUGUUUUUUAAUUGCUUUUCGGUGUUAGUAGAACGUUAUCAUCUUAGUAGACGUAAAAUAUGGUCUUAUAAAACUAUGACUACUUGUUCUUUCAUAUUUAAAUGUUGGUAUAUUGUAUUUUGUACUCUAUCAUUUAAUAUCUCUCUCUCUCUAUCUCUAUGUUGUAGCAAAAUUGAUCAGCACUCAAUUAUCGAUGUUAGUAGAACAACCUUUUAAUAAAUGUUUGCAUAUUUUAAGACAGUUAAAUACUAACUUAAAAUAGGUUUUCGAUUUCAGUAAAACUCCUUCAACAUUUUAGUAGACGUAAAAGGUGGUCUAAUAAAACUAUGACUACUCGGUCUUUCAUAUUUAAAUGUUGGUAUAUCGUAUCUUGUACUCUAUCAGAUAUCUCUAUGUUGUAAUCCAAUUGAUCAGCAAUCGAUUAUCGAUGCUAGUAGAAAUAACUUUAAAUAAAUAUUUGAAUGUUUAAAGUCAGUGCUAUCAUUUGAUUUUAAAUUGCUUUUCGGUGUUAGUAGAACGUUAUCAUUUAAGUGGACGUAAAAGAUAGUCUAAUUAAACUAUGACUACUUGGUCUUUCAUAUUUAAAUGUUGGUAAAUUGUAUUUUGUACUCUAUCAAUUAAUAUCUCUCUCUCUCUAUCUCUAUGUUGUAGCAAAAUUGAUCAGCACUCGAUUAUCGACGUUAGUAGAACAACCUUUUAAUAAAUGUUUGCAUAUUUUAAGACAGUUGGCUUAAAAUAUGUUUCGAUAUUAAUAAAUCACCUUUAACGUCUUAGUAGACGUAAAACGUGGUCUUAUACAACUAUGACUGCUCCGUAGUUCUUGUUUAAAUGUUUGUCUAUCGUAUCUGAUACUAUAUCACAUAUCUCUAUGUUGUAAUCCAAUUGAUCAGCAGUCGAUUAUGCUAGUAGAACAAAGUUAAAAAAAACUUUUUCAUAUUGUUAGACAGUUCUAUC